This 685-nucleotide ribosomal RNA is filed under the name uncultured Bacilli bacterium. RNAcentral describes it as "bacterial SSU rRNA". It matches the Rfam family "Bacterial small subunit ribosomal RNA", at positions 68 to 740 of the family's 1533-position model. Lineage: Bacteria; Bacillati; Bacillota; Bacilli. The record is from RNAcentral.
AACAGACGAGGAGCUUGCUCCUCUGACGUUAGCGGCGGACGGGUGAGUAACACGUGGAUAACCUACCUAUAAGACUGGGAUAACUUCGGGAAACCGGAGCUAAUACCGGAUAAUAUAUUGAACCGCAUGGUUCAAUAGUGAAAGACGGUUUUGCUGUCACUUAUAGAUGGAUCCGCGCCGCAUUAGCUAGUUGGUAAGGUAACGGCUUACCAAGGCAACGAUGCGUAGCCGACCUGAGAGGGUGAUCGGCCACACUGGAACUGAGACACGGUCCAGACUCCUACGGGAGGCAGCAGUAGGGAAUCUUCCGCAAUGGGCGAAAGCCUGACGGAGCAACGCCGCGUGAGUGAUGAAGGUCUUCGGAUCGUAAAACUCUGUUAUUAGGGAAGAACAAAUGUGUAAGUAACUAUGCACGUCUUGACGGUACCUAAUCAGAAAGCCACGGCUAACUACGUGCCAGCAGCCGCGGUAAUACGUAGGUGGCAAGCGUUAUCCGGAAUUAUUGGGCGUAAAGCGCGCGUAGGCGGUUUUUUAAGUCUGAUGUGAAAGCCCACGGCUCAACCGUGGAGGGUCAUUGGAAACUGGAAAACUUGAGUGCAGAAGAGGAAAGUGGAAUUCCAUGUGUAGCGGUGAAAUGCGCAGAGAUAUGGAGGACACCAGUGCGAGCGACUUUCUGGUCUGUAAC